Molecule: ribosomal RNA, 475 nt
Filed under: Salmonella enterica subsp. enterica serovar Enteritidis
Lineage: Bacteria; Pseudomonadati; Pseudomonadota; Gammaproteobacteria; Enterobacterales; Enterobacteriaceae
Description: partial 23S ribosomal RNA
Rfam family: Bacterial large subunit ribosomal RNA
Source: RNAcentral
GCGAUACCCGAAUGGGGAAACCCAGUGUGACUCGUCACACUAUCAUUAACUGAAUCCAUAGGUUAAUGAGGCGAACCGGGGGAACUGAAACAUCUAAGUACCCCGAGGAAAAGAAAUCAACCGAGAUUCCCCCAGUAGCGGCGAGCGAACGGGGAGGAGCCCAGAGCCUGAAUCAGCAUGUGUGUUAGUGGAAGCGUCUGGAAAGGCGCGCGAUACAGGGUGACAGCCCCGUACACAAAAGCGCAUGUGCUGUGAGCUCGAUGAGUAGGGCGGGACACGUGGUAUCCUGUCUGAAUAUGGGGGGACCAUCCUCCAAGGCUAAAUACUCCUGACUGACCGAUAGUGAACCAGUACCGUGAGGGAAAGGCGAAAAGAACCCCGGCGAGGGGAGUGAAAAAGAACCUGAAACCGUGUACGUACAAGCAGUGGGAGCACCCUUUGGGUGUGACUGCGUACCUUUUGUAUAAUGGGUCAG